RNAcentral lists this ribosomal RNA (462 nucleotides) under uncultured bacterium. RNAcentral's name for it is "bacterial SSU rRNA". It matches the Rfam family "Bacterial small subunit ribosomal RNA", at positions 28 to 507 of the family's 1533-position model. The record is from RNAcentral.
GACGAACGCUGGCGGCGUGCCUAACACAUGCAAGUCGAGCGGAGAAUGCAGCAAUGUAUUCUUAGCGGCGGACGGGUGAGUAACGCGCGGGCAACCUGCCUCACACAGGGGGAUAACACUGGGAAACUAGUGCUAAUACCGCAUAACAUCAUCGGGUGGCAUCACCUGAUGAUCAAAGGAGCAAUCCGGUGUGAGAUGGGCCCGCGUCCGAUUAGCUAGUUGGUGGUGUAGAGGACCACCAAGGCGACGAUCGGUAGCCGAACUGAGAGGUUGAUCGGCCACAUUGGGACUGAGACACGGCCCAGACUCCUACGGGAGGCAGCAGUGGGGAAUAUUGCGCAAUGGAGGAAACUCUGACGCAGCAACGCCGCGUGAAGGAUGAAGGUCUUCGGAUUGUAAACUUCUUUAGUCGGGGACGAAGAAAUGACGGUACCCGAAGAAUAAGCCACGGCUAACUACGUG